CCUACGGGAGGCUGCAGUAGGGAAUCUUCCACAAUGGGCGAAAGCCUGAUGGAGCAACGCCGCGUGGGUGAAGAAGGUCUUCGGAUCGUAAAACCCUGUUGUUAGAGAAGAAAGUGCGUGAGAGUAACUGUUCACGUUUCGACGGUAUCUAACCAGAAAGCCACGGCUAACUACGUGCCAGCAGCCGCGGUAAUACGUAGGUGGCAAGCGUUAUCCGGAUUUAUUGGGCGUAAAGGGAACGCAGGCGGUCUUUUAAGUCUGAUGUGAAAGCCUUCGGCUUAACCGGAGUAGUGCAUUGGAAACUGGGAGACGUGAGUGCAGAAGAGGAGAGUGGAACUCCAUGUGUAGCGGGGAAAUGCGUAGAGAUAUGGAAGAAAACCAGUGGCGAAAGCGGCUCUCUGGUCUGUAACUGACGCUGAGGUUCGAAAGCGUGGGUAGCAAACAGGAUUAGAUACCCGGGUAGUC
This 465-nucleotide ribosomal RNA is filed under the name uncultured bacterium. RNAcentral's name for it is "partial 16S ribosomal RNA". It matches the Rfam family "Bacterial small subunit ribosomal RNA", at positions 338 to 795 of the family's 1533-position model. The record is from RNAcentral.